CGGUAAUACGGAGGGUGCAAGCGUUACUCGGAAUCACUGGGCGUAAAGGACGCGUAGGCGGGAUGGUAAGUCAGAUGUGAAAUCCCACAGCUUAACUGUGGAACUGCAUUUGAAACUGCCAACCUAGAGUUUGGGAGAGGCAGAUGGAAUUGGUGGUGUAGGGGUAAAAUCCGUAGAGAUCACCAGGAAUACCGAUGGCGAAGGCGAUCUGCUGGAACAAUACUGACGCUGAGGCGUGAAAGCGUGGGGAGCAAACAGGAUUAGAUACCCUGGUAGUCCACGCCCUAAACGAUGAAUGCUAGUUGUUGGGGUGCUCGUCAUCCCAGUAAUGCAGCUAACGCAAUAAGCAUUCCGCCUGGGGAGUACGGUCGCAAGAUUAAAACUCAAAGGAAUAGACGGGGACCCGCACAAGCGGUGGAGCAUGUGGUUUAAUUCGAAGAUACGCGAAGAACCUUACCUGGACUUGACAUCCCGAGAACCCUCCAGAGAUGGAGGGGUGCUACUUUGUAGAGCUCGGUGACAGGUGCUGCACGGCUGUCGUCAGCUCGUGUCGUGAGAUGUUGGGUUAAGUCCCGCAACGAGCGCAACCCUCGUCCUUAGUUGCCAGCAGUUCGGCUGGGCACUCUAAGGAGACUGCCUGGGUAACCAGGAGGAAGGUGAGGACGACGUCAAGUCAUCAUGGCCCUUAUGUCCAAGGCGACACACGUGCUACAAUGGCGUGUACAAUGAGAGGCAAUACCGCGAGGUGGAGCAAAUCUAUAAAACACGUCCCAGUUCGGAUUGCACUCUGCAACUCGAGUGCAUGAAGUUGGAAUCGCUAGUAAUCGUGAAUCAGCCAUGUCACGGUGAAUACGUUCCCGGG
This 862-nucleotide ribosomal RNA is filed under the name uncultured bacterium. RNAcentral's name for it is "bacterial SSU rRNA". It matches the Rfam family "Bacterial small subunit ribosomal RNA", at positions 518 to 1378 of the family's 1533-position model. The record is from RNAcentral.